UGAGAGGAAAAUGGGAAAUACCUGUCAUG
This 29-nucleotide non-coding RNA is filed under the name Rattus norvegicus (Norway rat). The record is from RNAcentral. Lineage: Eukaryota; Metazoa; Chordata; Mammalia; Rodentia; Muridae.